UAAUGAAAUGCCAACAAGAAUAUGAUACAAGAAGCAAAAUUCUUCAAAAAGCAGAUAGCUUCUGAGACUUAUCAGAGUACCUUGCCUUGGAAAGAAGAAAUGAUACCUUUCCGAGAUCAAGGAAAAGGAUAAAAGGGUAGUAAAGGUGCCACUGAAUUUAUGACAGAGAAUGAAAGGACAUAGAGUGGAUUGGGCUUAACUAAGUAUUUCCUGGUUGAGGUUUCUCAUGCAGUUUCAGUCAGAGGAUGUUGGCUGGAGAUGGAGUCAUCUGGAGGCUAGGACAUUUGCCCACUCUGAAGAAAAAACAAACAGCUGAAGAAAUCUCACUCCACCACUAUCUGGUCACUCCGUAUACUCUCUUCAUCAUGGAAGCUUCAGGGUAGCUGGACUACUAACAUUGUGGAUGAGGGCUCCUAAGAUAGACUGCCAAAGGGAGGAAAGAGAAGACAGAAGACAAACUGUUUGGAAAGCUGUCUUCCCUCUUAAUGAGCUUCUCAAAAUCAAACUUCAGUUUCAAAAUUGUCUACAGAGUGCCCCUGAAGCAUCCAGAAGAGAGGUAAACAGGAUUAUUUAACAUGUUAAGGACAACAUAAGAAAACACCAAGGAUAGAAAAC
This 615-nucleotide long non-coding RNA is filed under the name Homo sapiens (human). RNAcentral's name for it is "HSALNT0056823". Lineage: Eukaryota; Metazoa; Chordata; Mammalia; Primates; Hominidae. The record is from RNAcentral.